CGAAGUGUAGGCCAGUGGAAGAGCAUUCGACUGCAGAUCGAGAGGUCCGUGGUUCAACUCCGCGCGCCCCCA
Molecule: transfer RNA, 72 nt
Filed under: Nippostrongylus brasiliensis
Lineage: Eukaryota; Metazoa; Nematoda; Chromadorea; Rhabditida; Heligmosomidae
Rfam family: tRNA
About the family: Transfer RNA (tRNA) molecules are approximately 80 nucleotides in length.
Source: Rfam by way of RNAcentral